Aspergillus coremiiformis is the source of this 72-nucleotide non-coding RNA. The record is from the annotation of a GenBank genome assembly. Lineage: Eukaryota; Fungi; Ascomycota; Eurotiomycetes; Eurotiales; Aspergillaceae.
GGAGCGCUGGCGCAACGGUAGCGCGUUCGACUCCAGAUCGAAAGGUUAUCCGUUCAAAUCGGGUGCGCUUCA